GUAAUGAUGGCCAGGCUGUCUCCACCCGAGACUCAGUGAAAUUGAACUCGCUGUGAAGAUGCAGUGUACCCGCGGCAAGACGGAAAGACCCCGUGAACCUUUACUAUAGCUUGACACUGAACAUUGAGCCUUGAUGUGUAGGAUAGGUGGGAGGCUUUGAAGUGUGGACGCCAGUCUGCAUGGAGCCGACCUUGAAAUACCACCCUUUAAUGUUUGAUGUUCUAACGUUGACCCGUAAUCCGGGUUGCGGACAGUGUCUGGUGGGUAGUUUGACUGGGGCGGUCUCCUCCUAAAGAGUAACGGAGGAGCACGAAGGUUGGCUAAUCCUGGUCGGACAUCAGGAGGUUAGUGCAAUGGCAUAAGCCAGCUUGACUGCGAGCGUGACGGCGCGAGCAGGUGCGAAAGCAGGUCAUAGUGAUCCGGUGGUUCUGAAUGGAAGGGCCAUCGCUCAACGGAUAAAAGGUACUCCGGGGAUAACAGGCUGAUACCGCCCAAGAGUUCAUAUCGACGGCGGUGUUUGGCACCUCGAUGUCGGCUCAUCACAUCCUGGGGCUGAAGUAGGUCCCAAGGGUAUGGCUGUUCGCCAUUUAAAGUGGUACGCGAGCUGGGUUUAGAACGUCGUGAGACAGUUCGGUCCCUAUCUGCCGUGGGCGCUGGAGAACUGAGGGGGGCUGCUCCUAGUACGAGAGGACCGGAGUGGACGCAUCACUGGUGUUCGGGUUGUCAUGCCAAUGGCACUGCCCGGUAGCUAAAUGCGGAAGAGAUAAGUGCUGAAAGCAUCUAAGCACGAAACUUGCC
Molecule: ribosomal RNA, 798 nt
Filed under: Escherichia coli
Lineage: Bacteria; Pseudomonadati; Pseudomonadota; Gammaproteobacteria; Enterobacterales; Enterobacteriaceae
Description: partial 23S ribosomal RNA
Rfam family: Bacterial large subunit ribosomal RNA
Source: RNAcentral